RNAcentral lists this small RNA (179 nucleotides) under Sphingomonas sp. RNAcentral describes it as "Manganese sequence". It matches the Rfam family "Manganese Mn2+ riboswitch aptamer (yybP-ykoY)". Rfam says of the family: This RNA was originally discovered in E. coli during a large scale screen and was named SraF. The family was later found to exist upstream of related families of protein genes in many bacteria, including the the yybP and ykoK genes in B. subtilis. The specific functions of these proteins are unknown, but this structured RNA element may be involved in their genetic regulation as a riboswitch. Lineage: Bacteria; Pseudomonadati; Pseudomonadota; Alphaproteobacteria; Sphingomonadales; Sphingomonadaceae. RNAcentral also lists the same sequence under 1 other name. The record is from RNAcentral.
CCACCCGUCAUCCGGGGAGUAGCCGGCCGUCCCCACGGGACGGGAAUCGCGUCAACAUACUUGGGGGAGACCCCAUGGCGCGAUCAGGGCCCGUGCGGCCUUGGCGAGACCGAUGACACCGCACCCCUGCCUGCCGGGCGGGGGGUCGUGGUGUCGUCCGUCAACUGCCAGCCCGGCCC